AAAGCUGGAUACUCUUGCCCAAUCACAUAAUGCCUGGUCUUGGCCAAUCAGAGCUCGGCCCCGCCUCUAUCGGGAGUGACGGACACUCACGGAAGGACCCGAGGACAACCGAUGUCACGGCGUACGGAGCUACCCCACAGCAGCCGCAAGGGGGAGCAGGUGCGAAGCGGCGGAAUCGCUUCUCGGCGCGCCUUGAUAUCGCAGCCAUCGCACUCGAGAGGAGCCUUCUCUGUCUGGCCGGCGCAUGUUCGCUGGAUGCGUCCUGCCACCGCCAGCUCUGAGCCCCCGCCCGGGGCACAGGGACACGUCCUCACAAACACACACAGCAAGACAGAAACGCAGCCGAGCUCGCACUGCAUAGACCAGCCUGCCAGCAAACAGACACAGCGCAAUGCUAGGAAACGGCAUCGUCUCUGCCCCAGCAUCCCUGUGCGUCACAUAGUUAUGACGUUAUUAGAUGUCCCGACAUUCUGUUAACACGAGAGUUGUCAAUUGUCUAAUCCCUGAAAACCCAACACCCGGCCCCUGUCCGUCCCCUCCCCCCAAUCACUUCCUCUCCGCCCCCUCCCCCUCCACCCACCUGCCUCCUGCACAGCCGGGCUGGGAGGAGCUGACAUGGAGCCUGCUCAAUUGGGGAUGGCAGGGCUGGGUGUGGCCCUGCCUGUGUGCUUGACUGGAAGCAGCUGAUGAGCCUAGCCCAGCAAGGCCGGGCUGGCAGAAUAGGCUGACUCAGUGGCAUCCCAGCACAUCAGGUGAUGACAAAGUAGAAGCAGAGCUGUAGAAAGAAUAGCCUAGCCCCCUCUACCACUAGGAUGGGUAGGUGGCCCCAAUUAAGUGUAUUUUUCUGACUUGGAACUAUGAUUGUCCUGAACAAAGAAAAAGAAGAAAAGAAAUACUAAUAAUGGGCAUUAGAUUUUACACUGCUUAGCUAAGGACUGACCCAUAAGAGCUGCUACAGAUCUAAAUGGAAGGACUUGGAUUUACUUGGAAUCCUGU
Mauremys reevesii (Reeves's turtle) is the source of this 996-nucleotide long non-coding RNA. RefSeq lists it as uncharacterized. The transcript has 4 exons. The record is from RefSeq and is a predicted model, not a curated record. NCBI's taxonomy places the organism in Eukaryota, Metazoa, Chordata, Testudines, Geoemydidae.